GUGCUCUCUCCAGCAGCAUUUAGACGAAAAUUAGAAUGAUACACUGAAGAUUAGCAUGGCCCCUGCAUGAAGAUAACACAUAUAUCCCCCGAAAAGAACUCAUUGUGU
This is a small nuclear RNA of Arvicola amphibius (Eurasian water vole), 108 nucleotides long. Lineage: Eukaryota; Metazoa; Chordata; Mammalia; Rodentia; Cricetidae. The record is from RefSeq and is a predicted model, not a curated record.